This 71-nucleotide transfer RNA is filed under the name Candidatus Jorgensenbacteria bacterium GWC1_48_12. RNAcentral describes it as "tRNA-Gly". It matches the Rfam family "tRNA". From Rfam's summary of the family: Transfer RNA (tRNA) molecules are approximately 80 nucleotides in length. Their secondary structure includes four short double-helical elements and three loops (D, anti-codon, and T loops). Further hydrogen bonds mediate the characteristic L-shaped molecular structure. tRNAs have two regions of fundamental functional importance: the anti-codon, which is responsible for specific mRNA codon recognition, and the 3' end, to which the tRNAs corresponding amino acid is attached (by aminoacyl-tRNA synthetases). tRNAs cope with the degeneracy of the genetic code in two manners: having more than one tRNA (with a specific anti-codon) for a particular amino acid; and 'wobble' base-pairing, i.e. permitting non-standard base-pairing at the 3rd anti-codon position. Lineage: Bacteria; Candidatus Joergenseniibacteriota. The record is from RNAcentral. RNAcentral also lists the same sequence under 1 other name.
GCGGGAUUAGUAUAGUAGCAGUACGCGACCUUGCCAAGGUCGAGGCGCCAGUGCAAUCCUGGUAUCCCGCU